GUCCCCGUAGCUCAGGUGGAUAGAGCGGAGGUUUCCUAAACCUUAGGCCGGGCGUUCGAGUCGCCCCGGGGACA
RNAcentral lists this transfer RNA (74 nucleotides) under Gemmatimonadota bacterium. Its description in RNAcentral is "tRNA-Arg". It matches the Rfam family "tRNA". From Rfam's summary of the family: Transfer RNA (tRNA) molecules are approximately 80 nucleotides in length. Their secondary structure includes four short double-helical elements and three loops (D, anti-codon, and T loops). RNAcentral also lists the same sequence under 1 other name. The record is from RNAcentral. Lineage: Bacteria; Pseudomonadati; Gemmatimonadota.